RNAcentral lists this ribosomal RNA (628 nucleotides) under uncultured Hyphomicrobiales bacterium. RNAcentral's name for it is "bacterial SSU rRNA". It matches the Rfam family "Bacterial small subunit ribosomal RNA", at positions 94 to 757 of the family's 1533-position model. Lineage: Bacteria; Pseudomonadati; Pseudomonadota; Alphaproteobacteria; Hyphomicrobiales. The record is from RNAcentral.
AGUGGCAGACGGGUGAGUAAUGUAUAGGAAUCUACCUAGUAGUACGGAAUAAUUGUUGGAAACGGCAACUAAUACCGUAUACGCCCUACGGGGGAAAAAUUUAUCGCUAUUAGAUGAGCCUAUAUUAGAUUAGUUAGUUGGUGAGGUAAAGGCUUACCAAGACAAUGAUCUAUAGCUGAUCUGAGAGGAUGAUCAGCCACACUGGAACUGAGAUACGGUCCAGACUCCUACGGGAGGCAGCAGUGGGGAAUAUUGGACAAUGGGCGAAAGCCUGAUCCAGCCAUGCCGCAUGAGUGAAGAAGGCCUUCGGGUUGUAAAGCUCUUUUAGUGAGGAAGAUAAUGACGGUACUCACAGAAGAAGUCCUGGCUAACUCCGUGCCAGCAGCCGCGGUAAUACGGAGAGGGCUAGCGUUAUUCGGAAUCAUUGGGCGUAAAGGGCGCGUAGGCGGGUUAGUAAGUUAAAAGUGAAAUCCCAAGGCUCAACCUUGGAACUGCUUUUAAAACUGCUAGUCUAGAGAUUGAAAGAGGAUAGAGGAAUUCCUAGUGUAGAGAUGAAAUUCGUAAAUAUUANGAGGAACACCAGUGGCGAAGGCGUCUAUCUGGUUCAAAUCUGACGCUGAGGCGCGAA